GACGAACGCUGGCGGCGUGCUUAAUACAUGCAAGUCGAACGGAAAGGCCCUGCUUUUGUGGGUUGGUCGAUUGGCGAACGCGUGAGUAACACGUGAGUAACCUGCCCUUAACUUUGGGGUAACUUCAGGAAACUCGGGCUAAUACCGGGUAGGAUCUCCUGCUGCAUGGUGGGGGUUGGAAAGUUUCGGCGGUUGGGGCUGGACUCGCGGCUUAUCCGCUUGAUGGGGGGGUAGUGGCUUACCAAGGCUUUGACGGGUAGGCGGCCUGAGAGGGUGACCGGCCACAUUGGGCCUGAGAUACGGACCAGACUCCUACGGGAGGCAGCAGUGGGGAAUAUUGCACAAUGGGCCGAAGUCUGAUGCAGCAACGCCGCGUGCGGGAUGACGGCCUUCGGGUUGUAAACAGCUUUCGACUGUGACGAAGCGUGAGUGACGGUAAUGGGUAAAGAAGCACCGGCUAACUACGUG
Molecule: ribosomal RNA, 468 nt
Filed under: uncultured bacterium
Lineage: Bacteria
Description: partial 16S ribosomal RNA
Rfam family: Bacterial small subunit ribosomal RNA
Source: RNAcentral